ACUGGCUGUCGUCAGCUCGUGUCGUGAGAUGUUGGGUUAAGUCCGCAACGAGCGCAACCCCUAUCUUAGUUGCCAUCAUUGAGUUGGGCACUCUAAAGAGACUGCCGGUGUCAAACCGGAGGAAGGUGGGGAUGACGUCAAAUCAUCAUGCCCCUUAUGACCUGGGCUACACACGUGCUACAAUGGUUGGUACAAAGGGUCGCGAACCCGCGAGGGGGAGCCAAUCCCAAAAAGCCGCUCUCAGUUCGGAUUGCAGGCUGCAACUCGCCUGCAUGAAGCCGGAAUCGCUAGUAAUCGCGGAUCAGCAUGCCGCGGUGAAUACGUUCCCGGGCCUU
RNAcentral lists this ribosomal RNA (335 nucleotides) under uncultured Anoxybacillus sp. Its description in RNAcentral is "bacterial SSU rRNA". It matches the Rfam family "Bacterial small subunit ribosomal RNA", at positions 1044 to 1382 of the family's 1533-position model. Lineage: Bacteria; Bacillati; Bacillota; Bacilli; Caryophanales; Anoxybacillaceae. The record is from RNAcentral.